This 426-nucleotide ribosomal RNA is filed under the name uncultured bacterium. Its description in RNAcentral is "bacterial SSU rRNA". It matches the Rfam family "Bacterial small subunit ribosomal RNA", at positions 356 to 774 of the family's 1533-position model. The record is from RNAcentral.
GGGGAAUUUUGGACAAUGGGGGCAACCCUGAUCCAGCCAUCCCGCGUGUGCGAUGAAGGCCUUCGGGUUGUAAAGCACUUUUGGCAGGGAAGAAACAGCCUGGGCUAAUAUCCCGGGCGACUGACGGUACCUGCAGAAGAAGCCCCAGCCAACUACGUGCCAGCAGCUGCGGUAAUACGUAGGGGGCGAGCGUUAUUCGGAAUUACUGGGUGUAAAGGGUAUGUAGGCGGCCCUUCAAGUCGCGUGUCAAAGUCCAGUGCUCAACGCUGGGUGUGCACGCGAUACUGACGGGCUUGAGGGCUGGAGAGGUGAGCGGAAUUCCCGGUGUAGUGGUAAAAUACGUAGAGAUCGGGAGGAACAACAGCGGCGCAGGCGGCUCACUAGACAGUUUCUGACGCUAAGAUACGAAAGCGUGGGGAGCAAACA